This 405-nucleotide unclassified non-coding RNA is filed under the name uncultured fungus. Its description in RNAcentral is "sequence contains ITS1". Lineage: Eukaryota; Fungi. The record is from RNAcentral.
UUAACUUAUUUGUUAUAUUACUCAGACAACACAAAAAAUCAAGAGUUUAGGGUCCUCUGGCAGGCACAGACCAGCCUAAGCCGGUGGUCAAAAGACGGGCCUGCCAAAGCAACAAAGGUAAUGUAAACAAAGGGUGGGAGAUCUACCCCAAGGGGCAAUUUCUCUGUAAUGAUCCUUCCGCAGGUUCACCUACGGAACACAUGGUCUACAGCCUUUUCAGAAGUAGGCCGGUCAUAUCUGAAUCCAAGACAGGGGUUAGCUGUUUUUGGACCACCUUCGUUUGAUCUGUGAACUGCUAUCAGCAGCUGCAUGUUACCAUGAUGGUAUCCAAGCACAUUGAAGAUGUUGCCUACUUAAGUAGACUGGUGGUAUCCAAGGCUUCGGCAGGUGUUGUUCCUCGAGAAA